This 971-nucleotide long non-coding RNA is filed under the name Prunus dulcis (almond). Its description in RNAcentral is "sRNA ncRNA". Lineage: Eukaryota; Viridiplantae; Streptophyta; Magnoliopsida; Rosales; Rosaceae. The record is from RNAcentral.
CGGAUCUCUCUGUACCUUUCCCUCACAUUUCUCUCGGGCUCUCCUUUGUUUCCUAACCCUAGCCGCACACAACACUCACUCAUCGCAUCAUUCAUCUUCAUCUUCAUCACCUUUGGUAAACAAUGUCAUCACCUUUGGCCUCUUCGUCUCCCCAGUGUAAGCUCUCUCUCUCUCUCUCUCUCUGUAGAUUUGAUGGUUUUUUUGUUCAAGUUUCUGAUUUGGGUUCAUAUCUUUCAUGGGUUUAGACUUUAAUUGGUUCAUAACUUCAUAUCUCUCAUGUUUAAUGUGCUGUAAUGUUUAAUGAGUUUGAAUGUUUAAAUUUCAAUUUUUUCUUUUUUCAGUGAAAUUAUUGAAUCUUCUCAUUAGUUAGAUAUAUAUGGGUUUUCAUUUUGUCUUUUUUUUUUUUUGCUGAAAUUAGUGGGUCUUCUAUUAGAUUAGCUCUUCAAAAUUUGUUUGGGUGCUAACUGUCCUGUGAUGAAGAAAAUGAUUGGGAGAGGGAGAGAGGUGGGUUCUGGUGAUGUGUGGGUGGAAUUUGCAGAAGUUAAAAGAGAAGAUGGGUAUUUGAUUAAUAUAUAUAAGGUGGUGGGGAAGGGAGAAUACGGUUUAAGUUUGUUUUUUCUCAAUUCAUCAUUUUAAUUUUUUUUUUUAAAGACAACUCUUUUUAUACAUUAUUCUAUUUUUUAAAGAUUAUUACGUUUUGAUGUUUGUUGAUAUUUUGAUGAAAAAUAUGUGAUUGUGUUUUUUAUAUAGGUUUUGCUUCUAAUAAUCCAUCAUCUACGGAUGAAUCUGCAAAAAGGGGUUGAAGGCUCUCAAUUGAUUUGUAUUAAUUAGUUGGAUGUUGAAGUUUAUUUCUAUUUGUACCCAAAUCCGGGAUUGUAUUUGAACUUUGUUUUACUGGAAAUUUGGUUAACUUUCCAUAUUUGAUGUAUUGGAGAUUUGGAUUAUAUAAUGAAAAUGUUGAUGUUUGCAGC